AUCCCUAGGUUCGAAUCCUAGUACCCCAGCCA
RNAcentral lists this transfer RNA (32 nucleotides) under Actinobacillus minor 202. RNAcentral's name for it is "partial tRNA-Gln". Lineage: Bacteria; Pseudomonadati; Pseudomonadota; Gammaproteobacteria; Pasteurellales; Pasteurellaceae. The record is from RNAcentral.